Molecule: ribosomal RNA, 763 nt
Filed under: uncultured Streptococcus sp.
Lineage: Bacteria; Bacillati; Bacillota; Bacilli; Lactobacillales; Streptococcaceae
Description: bacterial SSU rRNA
Rfam family: Bacterial small subunit ribosomal RNA
Source: RNAcentral
GACGAACGCUGGCGGCGUGCCUAAUACAUGCAAGUAGAACGCUGAAGGAGGAGCUUGCUUCUCUGGAUGAGUUGCGAACGGGUGAGUAACGCGUAGGUAACCUGCCUGGUAGCGGGGGAUAACUAUUGGAAACGAUAGCUAAUACCGCAUAACAGUAGAUAUCGCAUGAUAGCUACUUGAAAGGUGCAAUUGCACCACUACCAGAUGGACCUGCGUUGUAUUAGCUAGUUGGUGAGGUAACGGCUCACCAAGGCAACGAUACAUAGCCGACCUGAGAGGGUGAUCGGCCACACUGGGACUGAGACACGGCCCAGACUCCUACGGGAGGCAGCAGUAGGGAAUCUUCGGCAAUGGACGGAAGUCUGACCGAGCAACGCCGCGUGAGUGAAGAAGGUUUUCGGAUCGUAAAGCUCUGUUGUAAGAGAAGAACGAGUGUGAGAGUGGAAAGUUCACACUGUGACGGUAUCUUACCAGAAAGGGACGGCUAACUACGUGCCAGCAGCCGCGGUAAUACGUAGGUCCCGAGCGUUGUCCGGAUUUAUUGGGCGUAAAGCGAGCGCAGGCGGUUAGAUAAGUCUGAAGUUAAAGGCUGUGGCUUAACCAUAGUACGCUUUGGAAACUGUUUAACUUGAGUGCAAGAGGGGAGAGUGGAAUUCCAUGUGUAGCGGUGAAAUGCGUAGAUAUAUGGAGGAACACCGGUGGCGAAAGCGGCUCUCUGGCUUGUAACUGACGCUGAGGCUCGAAAGCGUGGGGAGCAAACAGG